UCAGGCUUAUUUUUAUUUCCCAGUCAGCCCCGGACAUCAAGAAGCGGUUGCAGCAGCUCGAGGGUGCUGAAGGAAAAUCCCUGGAGGAACUGGUAAGCGUGGCCACCCGAGUAUAUCAUACAAGGGAAAAAGUUCAAGAGACCAAACAGGUGAGGAUGCUAGCAGCCCUUGUAAACACUGGAAAUGAACAACAGGGAGGGCGGCAGGGACCCCCCAAGUGGCAACCAAAAUCAGAUUAUGGGGGGACCCCGAGACAUGCCAAUGACAUAUGUAACUACUGUAAGCAGCCUGGCCACUGGAAGAGAGAGUGUCCGUACCAACCUACCGGACGACAACCCCGUCGCCCAGACCGACCUCAACAACAGAUGGCUGUGACAAGAACAGACGCUGUUGCUAGUGAGGAAUGACGGCAACCAGGGGGUCCUCUUGUCACCUAUUCAAAUGAUUUUACCACUUAUGUUUGUUCCUCCACAGACCCCCAAGUUCGCCUAACAUUGGGAGGAACCACCUAUUUUUGUCUUUUGGAUUCAGGGGCUGCACUUUCUACUGUUACUGCCAAGCCGGAGAGAGGAAGCCUUACAGAUAAGAGCAUUCCGGUAAUGGGUAUAGGCGAGAAGCCAUUUGACUGUUCUGUAUUACAGGAGGCUGCUGUAGAAAUCUCUGGUGUCUCCGCCUCCCAUGCCUUUCUGCUAGCCCCGGAUUCCCCAGUUAACCUCUUAGGCAGAGAUCUGUUGUGUAAACUACGUGCUCAGAUUUUCUUUUCAGAUGACAAAAUCAUUCUUCGGUUGCCUCAGACCCAACUUCCCCAGCUGUGUGCUGUUCUAACCCAAGUUUCAAAGGACCCGAUCCUGCCUGCGGACCCAAUCUUACCCGAGCGACUCAGACAGGAGUAUUCCUCUAGAUAAGGACAGCUGGGGCCACGCUUACCAAUUCAAUUUCAGUCCCUACUCGCUGAUGUUCCUGCCCACCGGAUCGCUCCAGGAGACUGGGUCUAUGUGAAAGAGUGGAAACACGAGCCUCUCCAACCCCGGUGGGCGGGCCCUUUCCAAGUCCUUCUUACCUCUCACACUGCUAUUCGAGUGAGAGAGCGAGACACUUGGAUACACCACACCCGAGUCAAGCUAGCCCCUAGGACGGGGCCAGAAGCGGACGACUUCGGACCUCGAGGGAGCACCGCCAGCUCUUCCCACCGCGACCCGGAAGAGCCAGAAACAGACGAUACCUGGAAAGCUGAACCUCUUGAGGGACUAAAGCUUCUGUUCCGGCAGACAAAAUCCUGAGACUUUAUAACUAUGGGUUCUCAGACGGUGCUGCAGUGGAUAUUGCUUUUGGGUUUGCCCCUUGUACAAGCUAACCCACACCCAGCCACUAAACCUCUUCAGUGAAUAGCCACGUUGGGACACUUAUCUGAUUGUUGGCUGUGUCACAAAACCCGCUCUGAGGAAGGAAUAGGAUUGUGGGCUGUACCUGCAAAUCUUUCUGAAGUACUCUCCUUACAGGUAGAACGGAAAACUGAAUGGGCAUGGAUUGGGGAAUAUCAAUAUGA
This is a long non-coding RNA of Terrapene triunguis (Three-toed box turtle), 1546 nucleotides long. RefSeq lists it as uncharacterized. Lineage: Eukaryota; Metazoa; Chordata; Testudines; Emydidae. The record is from RefSeq and is a predicted model, not a curated record. The transcript has 2 exons.